This 786-nucleotide long non-coding RNA is filed under the name Nicotiana benthamiana. Its description in RNAcentral is "long non-coding RNA (NBEN_LNC002809)". The record is from RNAcentral. Lineage: Eukaryota; Viridiplantae; Streptophyta; Magnoliopsida; Solanales; Solanaceae.
CUACUUAUAAAUGGACAUAUCUGGUAAUUCCCCUAUAUUUUUCCUACCCAAAUUAUUUAUCAUAAACAAAUAUUUAGUUGUCACAUCAAACAUGCACGUCCUAACAACCUAUUCAAUAAUGUUUUAUAAGGACUAGGUUUUUAAUGUACUUUGUAUUCGUUGUUUAUAGCUAUAUUGUUGGUAAAGAAGUCAGUAAUUAACAGCCUCAGAUUAGUUUUAUACACAUCAUAUAUAACGUGAGAAUUAUCUUAUUAUUCAAUCAACUGUUAAAACUAAGUCACUACCUGUCAGAAUUAGACGUGGAAAAGUUGCAAAUGCCUGCUGCUGUAAAAGACAACGUAACACGAAAGCCUAUAUACCAAGUUAAUUUCACGUACACGUAGAGCUACUGAAACUUACCCACCGUAACAGUAAAUUAUUAAAAUUUUAGCACAUUAAAGUAACAUAUGUAACUGUACCCACUACAGUUACGUUUUUGUUUUCCAACAUUAAUUUUAUGUAAUUCUUUUCUUGAUGGAUUAAGGCAGUCGCAAAUAAGUUUUUCUUGAUAGAAGAAAACAAAUAAGUAGUUAUCAAACUAAUUAGAAAGCAAAAUGAAUAUUCAUAGGCUCGAUUAAAAAAACAAAAACAAAAGAGCUUUUGAUGGUUUCCCUGUUUACGAAAAUUAUAAGAAAAGAAAACGUAAUUAUGUGGUAUCACCUCUGAUCAAAGGUAUCCUACAAAAUCUUCUUAAAAUAAUAGCAGGAACAAUGCACUGAAAAACUGGUUUAAAAAGGUCAAAAUAGU